This 253-nucleotide ribosomal RNA is filed under the name uncultured bacterium. RNAcentral describes it as "partial 16S ribosomal RNA". It matches the Rfam family "Bacterial small subunit ribosomal RNA", at positions 524 to 776 of the family's 1533-position model. The record is from RNAcentral.
UACGUAGGGUGCAAGCGUUAAUCGGAAUUACUGGGCGUAAAGCGUGCGCAGGCGGUUAUGCAAGACAGAUGUGAAAUCCCCAGGCUCAACUUGGGAACUGCAUCCGAUACUGGAUGGCUUGAAUUCGGGAGAGGGAUGCAGAAUUCCAGGUGUAGCGGUGAAAUGCGUAGAUAUCUGGAGGAAUACCGGUGGCGAAGGCGGCAUCCUGGACCGACAUUGACGCUGAGGAGCGAAAGCUAGGGGAGCAAACGGG